RNAcentral lists this ribosomal RNA (849 nucleotides) under uncultured Pseudomonadota bacterium. Its description in RNAcentral is "bacterial SSU rRNA". It matches the Rfam family "Bacterial small subunit ribosomal RNA", at positions 70 to 896 of the family's 1533-position model. Lineage: Bacteria; Pseudomonadati; Pseudomonadota. The record is from RNAcentral.
AAAGUCCCCUUCGGGGGAUAAGUAGAGUGGCGUCCGGGUGAGUAACACGUAGGUAAUCUACCUUCGGGUGGGGAAUAACCCAGGGAAACUUGGGCUAAUACCGCAUAAUGCAGCGGCACCACAUGGUGACAGUUGUUAAAGCGGGGGAUCUUCGGAUCUCGCGCCUGAAGAGGAGCCUGCGGCAGAUUAGCUAGUUGGUAAGGUAAUGGCUUACCAAGGCGACGAUCUGUAGCCGGCCUGAGAGGGCGGUCGGCCACACUGACACUGACAUACGGGUCAGACUCCUACGGGAGGCAGCAGUCGGGAAUUUUGGGCAAUGGGCGAAAGCCUGACCCAGCAACGCCGCGUGAAGGAUGAAAUCCCUCGGGAUGUAAACUUCGCAAGAAUGGGAAGAAUUAGUAGGGGUUAAUACCCUCUAUGAUGACGGUACCAUUUGUAAGCUCCGGCUAACUCCGUGCCAGCAGCCGCGGUAAUACGGGGGGAGCAAGCGUUGUUCGGAUUUACUGGGCGUAAAGGGCGCGUAGGCGGUCAGCACAAGUCAGUUGUGAAAUCUCCGGGCUUAACUCGGAAAGGUCAACUGAUACUGUGCGACUAGAGUGCGGAAGGGGCAACUGGAAUUCUCGGUGUAGCGGUGAAAUGCGUAGAUAUCGAGAGGAACACCUGCGGCGAAGGCGGGUUGCUGGGCCGACACUGACGCUGAUGCGCGAAAGCCAGGGGAGCGAACGGGAUUAGAUACCCCGGUAGUCCUGGCCUUAAACGAUGGAUGCUUGGUGUCUGGAGUUUUAUAGUCUCCGGGUGCCGUAGCUAACGCGUUAAGCAUCCCGCCUGGGGAGUACGGUCGCAAGACUG